UUUUUAUGGAGAGUUUGAUCCUGGCUCAGGACGAACGCUGGCGGCAUGCCUCACACAUGCAAGUCGAACGGGGUUAGGUUGAGAGCUUGCUUUUGACCUAACCUAGUGGCGGACGGGUGAGUAACGCGUGGGCAACCUACCCUACAGUCUGGGAUACCAUCGGGAAACUGAU
Molecule: ribosomal RNA, 172 nt
Filed under: Anaerobranca gottschalkii DSM 13577
Lineage: Bacteria; Bacillati; Bacillota; Clostridia; Eubacteriales; Proteinivoracaceae
Description: 16S rRNA. Bacterial SSU
Rfam family: Bacterial small subunit ribosomal RNA
Source: RNAcentral